GUCUUGUAAUUGGAAUGAUGGGAAUCUAAACCCCUUCCAGAGUAUCAAUUGGAGGGCAAGUCUGGUGCCAGCAGCCGCGGUAAUUCCAGCUCCAAUAGCGUAUAUUAAACUUGUUGCAGUUAAAAAGCUCGUAGUUGAAUUUCUGCUGUUUCGUUGACUGCGCUUGGCGUUUGUCAUCGUUGCGGCUUGGUUGGGUUUCGAUUAUUCGUUUCCCGGCGUUUACUUUGAGAAAAUUAGAGUGCUUGAAGCAGGCUUUUGCCUUGAAUACUUUAGCAUGGAAUAACGGAGUAGGACUUUGGUUCUAUUUUGUUGGUUUUAGGAGCCAGAGUAAUGGUUAAUAGGAACAGUUGGGGGCAUUCGUAUUUGACUGUCAGAGGUGAAAUUCUUAGAUUUGUCAAAGACGAACUACUGCGAAAGCAUUUGCCAAGGAUGUUUUCAUUAAUCAAGAACGAAAGUUAGGGGAUCGAAGACGAUCAGAUACCGUCGUAGUCCUAACCAUAAACGAUGCCGACUAGAGAUUGGAGGUCGUCAGUUUGAACGACUCCUUCAGCACCUUGAGAGAAAUCAAGGUCUUU
This 575-nucleotide ribosomal RNA is filed under the name Theileria equi. RNAcentral's name for it is "SSU rRNA". It matches the Rfam family "Eukaryotic small subunit ribosomal RNA", at positions 500 to 1108 of the family's 1831-position model. Lineage: Eukaryota; Apicomplexa; Aconoidasida; Piroplasmida; Theileriidae. The record is from RNAcentral.